This 423-nucleotide ribosomal RNA is filed under the name uncultured bacterium. RNAcentral describes it as "bacterial SSU rRNA". It matches the Rfam family "Bacterial small subunit ribosomal RNA", at positions 207 to 622 of the family's 1533-position model. The record is from RNAcentral.
AAGACCUUGCGCUUUUGGAGCGGCCGAMGCCUGAUUAGCUUGUUGGUAAGGUAAAAGCUUACCAAGGCUUCGAUCAGUAGCUGGUCUGAGAGGACGGCCAGCCACACUGGGACUGAGACACGGCCCAGACUCCUACGGGAGGCAGCAGUGGGGAAUUUUGGACAAUGGGGGCAACCCUGAUCCAGCCAUGCCGCGUGAGUGAAGAAGGCCUUCGGGUUGUAAAGCUCUUUCAGCCGGAACGAAACGGUUACGGUUAAUACCCAUGACUACUGACGGUACCGGAAGAAGAAGCACCGGCUAACUACGUGCCAGCAGCCGCGGUAAUACGUAGGGUGCGAGCGUUAAUCGGAAUUACUGGGCGUAAAGCGUGCGCAGGUGGUUUUGUAAGUCAGAUGUGAAAGCCCCGGGCUCAACCUGGGAACU